RNAcentral lists this long non-coding RNA (449 nucleotides) under Capsicum annuum. RNAcentral describes it as "long non-coding RNA (CANN_LNC019139)". The record is from RNAcentral. Lineage: Eukaryota; Viridiplantae; Streptophyta; Magnoliopsida; Solanales; Solanaceae.
GCACCUUCUUAUCACACAGCACCCCCGAUGCGAGCUUCCACUUCAUCCAUCCCGCCCCAAUACGGUGCGAGACAUCCUUGUCAAUCUCACCGUUACUCUGGAUCACGGACCCAAGAUACUUGAAACUAUCCCUCUUACAUACCUCCUGUGCUUUCAGCUUUACUACUACCUCAUUCUCCCGCCUCAAGUCAUUAAACUUGCAUUUCACAUACUCUGUCUUGCUUUUGCUCACCCUGAACCCUUUAGACUCAAGAGUUUGCCUCCACACCUCUAAUUUGUCAUUCACACCCCCUCGAGUCUCAUCUAUCAGAACUACAUUAUCUGCAAAAAGCAUACACCACGGCACCUCCCCUUGAAUACGCCCGUCAACACAUCCAUCACCAACGCAAACAAAAAGGGACUAAGAGUUGAUCCCUGAUGCAAUCCUAUCAGGACAGUGAAAUGCUCUG